UGAGUAAUGUCUGGGAAACUGCCCGAUAGAGGGGGAUAACUACUGGAAACGGUAGCUAAUACCGCAUAACCUCGUAAGAGCAAAGUGGGGGACCUUCGGGCCUCACGCUAUCGGAUGUGCCCAGAUGGGAUUAGCUAGUAGGUGGGGUAAUGGCUCACCUAGGCGACGAUCCCUAGCUGGUCUGAGAGGAUGACCAGCCACACUGGAACUGAGACACGGUCCAGACUCCUACGGGAGGCAGCAGUGGGGAAUAUUGCACAAUGGGCGCAAGCCUGAUGCAGCCAUGCCGCGUGUAUGAAGAAGGCCUUCGGGUUGUAAAGUACUUUCAGCGAGGAGGAAGGCAUUAAGGUUAAUAACCUUGGUGAUUGACGUUACUCGCAGAAGAAGCACCGGCUAACUCCGUGCCAGCAGCCGCGGUAAUACGGAGGGUGCAAGCGUUAAUCGGAAUUACUGGGCGUAAAGCGCACGCAGGCGGUCUGUCAAGUCGGAUGUGAAAUCCCCGGG
Molecule: ribosomal RNA, 504 nt
Filed under: uncultured bacterium
Lineage: Bacteria
Description: bacterial SSU rRNA
Rfam family: Bacterial small subunit ribosomal RNA
Source: RNAcentral